Long non-coding RNA from Seriola aureovittata, 2738 nucleotides. RefSeq lists it as uncharacterized. Lineage: Eukaryota; Metazoa; Chordata; Actinopteri; Carangiformes; Carangidae. The record is from RefSeq and is a predicted model, not a curated record. The transcript has 3 exons.
CAUGGGAUGUGUUGAAAAAAUGAAAGAUAUUGGUGAUGCAGAUGUUACACCACUCAGACUGCAACGGUAUGGUGUAGAAAAAGUUCAGUCUUUUAUUAAUCACUGGCAACACAUACAAGCUGUCGAGGCAGCAUCGGGCACACACCUUUUUUUUCAUAAACAAAAGAAUUGAAUAUUACUAAAUAUCACUGAAUGACAUGUUAAACAAACUCUUCUAAGAAUGCACUAUAAGAAAACAUUCCUUUCAGUUGCUACACAGACAUUAUCCUUAAAGAUGCAAAGGUUUCUGACUAGAAGUAUUAGGAAUUUGAUAUUUUUUUGUUGUCAUUUGAAAUGUAGUAUAGUUUAGUGUAGACUUAAAGGAUUAGUUGAUUCAUUGAUUAGUUGAUUGAAAAAAUCUGCAACUAUUUUAAUAAUCGAAUAAUUGCUUUCAUUUUUCAAACGAAACUGUCAAAUAGUCUCUGUUUCCAGCAUCUGAAAUUUAAGAGUAAAUUUAAGUACGCCUUUACAAUUUGUGACACUAAGGUACGCAAAAAGCCUGUUGAAAAAAAGAAGAAGAAGAAGAGUUCGACCAAUCACAGCGCCGGAUUCGUUUCCCGUGGCUGCACCGACUGCACUCACCUACGAAUUUGCUCAUUGUGUAAUGUAAUUUCAGGUCACGUUAGCUAGAGUCCACAAUUCGUUAACAUCGUUUUGACCUCGGUGUACCCUAACUGUAACCCCUCUCACUCCGACUGGCUGCUGAGGACUGUUCUCUGAACUCCUUUGCAAAGGUCUCCAGAAAUGAUCCUGAAGGCCCCGUUCACCGAGGCCAUCGACAUGGAGUCGUCGAGCUGUGUCAUGAAGGCAAUUCUUGGAACUUUGCUUUUCCCUUAGUCCACUGAAAAUAACUUGGUAAGUAAUUUAUUAUCACUGGACCCUGCUUACUUUGUACACUGUCCCUAAUAGAUCUAGAACUGUUGCACCAGCCAGUCUCAGAUCACAGGUCUUUGGCUUUAUUUCUGUAGUUUCGUCCAUCAUUCCUACCAGUUGUUUUCUGCGUCCAUCACAAACUUAACUAUCCUAUCAAUACAUACAAUUUUUUUGUCCUUAUGUCUGAUUUAUAGUAAGUCUUGUCUACUGUUGUGCAUGACAUGCUGGAAAAAGUUAUAUAGUAUAUUUUAUAGAAAGACUUUCAUAUAAUUUCUUUCUAUGAACCAAGAUGUUGACAGUGACAGUUUCAAAAUUCAAUGGAUUUAGAUGAGGAGGACCAGACAUGGGUUAUUAAAAUAUGGGGGUGUGUUGAGCUUUUGAAAGGAAUGCUUAAAAUGGAUCCAAGAGGCAGGAUUACCCCCAGUGAAGUGAAUUUGUGUGUUUCUUUGUAUGUCUAAAUAUGACAAUUGACUAUCAGAACAAUAGACAAAGAAUUUAACUUUGAGUAAAGAUUGUUUUAUGGAGGCUGUCCUGUCAUUUAGCCAUAACAUUACGGAUGGAUUCAACAAAAUAACACUUCAUCAGUGGUGAACCGUAAGUAUUAGAACUGGGCCUUCAACUCAACAUCAAGCAUUUUUUAUUUUGGGCUUUCAUCAAGCAAUAAUAUUAACAUUAAUUAAAGUUACUGUAAGCACCAUGUAAAUCUGAAAAACGUAUUAUAAUUUGUUCUUUGCCUAUAAAAAGCACAGCGAUGAAAGACCAAACAAGAUUAGAUUGAUUAGAUUAGAAUAGAACUAUUUAAAGGACCAGUGGGUAGGAUUUAGUGACAUCUAGUGGCGAGGUUGCAGAUUGCAACCAACUGAAUACCCCUCCACUGGUGUAAUAAUUACUAGUAAAUAAUAAUUCCUAUAAAAUGCAGAUACUUUGCCUUACUUUUGCAGUAUCUAUUGACAAAAUAUUUUCUCUCAGCUUUCUGAUCCAUCUUAAGUUGUUUAAGAAAAUUUAGGUUUAGUAAUAUUUACAGCCCAUAGCUUAUAGGAAUUAAGUGUCUCUUUUUGUAGUUUCUAUCUGUCCAAGUACUAUUAAUGGUAUUGAAAUAAAUGCAUCAAUUUACAAUUUCACAGAUUUCAGUAAGUGAUUUAGAGUUAGUCACCAAAUCACAUGAAAUUCAUUAAAGUCCAGACACAAAAAUGAGAUGACAGCUAUUGAGAUCUGCAAAGCUAGCUACCUUUAGAGGGAGCUGUUUAGCCUCUUUUAUUUGUUCAUCAUGAACUGAUUUAGCUGCAUCAUAUUUAGUUAUGUGGAAUAAAAAACUAAAUAACCAAAAUGUCAGUUCAUCAAUAUGGAUAAUAGAUGUUUCAUUUAAAGAUAACUAGGGCAAAGUCAAUAACUAAACUUAGCUAGCUAAAACUAGUUGCAGCUUUUCUUACAAGUUUGCUUUCACUUGACUUUUUACGUCAGCUGUCUACUUAUGGAAGCACAGUUUUGGCAUUGAGAGAAUAAUGUUCCUUGGCUCAGCUGUGUGUUGCAGUAGUUUAUUAACUGUGUGUGUAUUCUUUUGUUGUCUUUGUGCAACUGUUGUACAGAAAUCUCCUGGUUGAGAUUUUAAACACUAUCAUCAGAAAAUAUCUCAGAUUAGCUGACAAGCUGAACCAGUCCCAAAGAUAUUUGGAUGAACACAACGGAGGAAACUCUUGAAGGCAGCAGCAGCACUAGGAGUUUUCUAAGAACAUUAACAGCUCUGAUGAAAUCUUCUGGUCAACGUUCCCUUCAGAAGAUGUCCUGAAUAACUCCACCCACUCAGACUGCUCUGUACAAAUUUGGUU